RNAcentral lists this ribosomal RNA (674 nucleotides) under Echinococcus granulosus. RNAcentral's name for it is "partial 16S ribosomal RNA". The stretch from base 384 to 536 matches the Rfam family "Archaeal large subunit ribosomal RNA", at positions 1887 to 2086 of the family's 2987-position model. The record is from RNAcentral. Lineage: Eukaryota; Metazoa; Platyhelminthes; Cestoda; Cyclophyllidea; Taeniidae.
CUUAACGGAGUUUUUUAAAGUAUGUUUUUGUACCAAGAGGUUUUGAUCUUAGAUUUAGUUGUUUAGAAGUGUUGUUUGGUCUGGGUAAGGUCUUGUAAACUAAAUUUAUGUGGUGAUAAGUGAGUCGUAAAGCUUUAUAACUGUUUGGUUGUUUAGAAUUUAGUGGGAUGUAGGUGGCUAUUAGGUCAUUUAUAUUUUUAUACAUUUGGUGAUGUGUGGUUUUUGAUAAGGUUAGAGGUACCUAGUUUUUGUUAUAUUGUUGUAAAUAUGGUUUUGUUGGUUUAUUGGUAUGUUAAUUGUUUGAACAACUGUUUUGCUAUAUUUGGUUAUUAUAUUAUCGUUGAAUAAGUAAUUUUAUUAUGCUAUUUAUUUCUUGAGUUCUUUCCGUCUGUUUAUUAAAAACAUUUCUAAUUUUAAUUGUAGUUAGUAGUGCCUGCCCAAUGUUGGUUAAUUAAUGGCCGCAGUAUAUUGACUGUGCAAAGGUAGCAUAAUUAAUUGCCUUUUAAUUGGAGGCUUGUUUGAAUGGUUUGACGUGAUUGGUAUGAAUAUUUGGUAUUUAGUUGAAAUUGAUUUUGAGGGUUUAGAAUCCUUAAUGUUUAAUAAGACGGAAAGACCCUAGGAUCUUUUGUUUUUGUUUGGGGCAAAUAUUGUUGUUUUAUGAAUAUUGUGACCCU